Transfer RNA from Ipomoea nil (Japanese morning glory), 80 nucleotides. It matches the Rfam family "tRNA". Rfam says of the family: Transfer RNA (tRNA) molecules are approximately 80 nucleotides in length. Their secondary structure includes four short double-helical elements and three loops (D, anti-codon, and T loops). NCBI's taxonomy places the organism in Eukaryota, Viridiplantae, Streptophyta, Magnoliopsida, Solanales, Convolvulaceae. The record is from Rfam.
GAUGGUUUGGCCGAGUGGUCUAAGGUGCCAGAUUUAGGCUCUGGUCUAAAAGGGCGUGGGUUCAAAUCCCACAGCCGUCA